UACGUAGGGUGCGAGCGUUACUCGGAAUUACUGGGCGUAAAGCGUGCGCAGGCGGCUAUUUAAGCUUGCUGUGAAAGCCCCGGGCUUAACCUGGGAACUGCAGUGGGGACUGGAUGGCUGGAGUGUGGCAGAGGGGGGUGGAAUUCCACGUGUAGCAGUGAAAUGCGUAGAGAUGUGGAGGAACACCGAUGGCGAAGGCAGCCCCCUGGGCUAACACUGACGCUCAGGCACGAAAGCGUGGGGAGCAAACAGG
This 253-nucleotide ribosomal RNA is filed under the name uncultured bacterium. RNAcentral's name for it is "partial 16S ribosomal RNA". It matches the Rfam family "Bacterial small subunit ribosomal RNA", at positions 524 to 776 of the family's 1533-position model. The record is from RNAcentral.